This 888-nucleotide ribosomal RNA is filed under the name uncultured bacterium. Its description in RNAcentral is "bacterial SSU rRNA". It matches the Rfam family "Bacterial small subunit ribosomal RNA", at positions 505 to 1397 of the family's 1533-position model. The record is from RNAcentral.
GUGCCAGCCGCCGCGGUAAUACGGAAGGUCCGGGCGUUAUCCGGAUUUAUUGGGUUUAAAGGGAGCGCAGACGGGCUGUUAAGCGUGACGUGAAAUCUGGGGGCUCAACCUUCAGUUGCGUCGCGAACUGGCGGCCUUGAGUGGGCGGUAGGUACGCGGAAUUCGUGGUGUAGCGGUGAAAUGCUUAGAUAUCACGAGGAACCCCGAUUGCGAAGGCAGCGUACCGCAGCCUUACUGACGUUCAUGCUCGAAGGUGCGGGUAUCGAACAGGAUUAGAUACCCUGGUAGUCCGCACGGUAAACGAUGGAUGCCCGCUGUAUGCGACAUACUGUAUGCGGCCAAGCGAAAGCAUUAAGCAUCCCACCUGGGGAGUACGCCGGCAACGGUGAAACUCAAAGGAAUUGACGGGGGCCCGCACAAGCGGAGGAACAUGUGGUUUAAUUCGAUGAUACGCGAGGAACCUUACCCGGGCUUGAACUGCAGAGGAAAGAUCCAGAGAUGGUGAUGCCCUUCGGGGCCUCUGCGGAGGUGCUGCAUGGUUGUCGUCAGCUCGUGCCGUGAGGUGUCGGCUUAAGUGCCAUAACGAGCGCAACCCCUCUCGCGAGUUGCCAUCAGGUGAUGCUGGGGACUCUCGCGACACUGCCACCGCAAGGUGUGAGGAAGGUGGGGACGACGUCAAAUCAGCACGGCCCUUACGUCCGGGGCUACACACGUGUUACAAUGGGGGGCACAGAGCGCUAGGGGCCGGCAACGUCCCCUGAAUCGUGAAAUCCCCCCUCAGUUCGGACUGGGGUCUGCAACCCGACCCCACGAAGCUGGAUUCGCUAGUAAUCGCGCAUCAGCCAUGGCGCGGUGAAUACGUUCCCGGGCCUUGUACACACCGCCCGU